This 496-nucleotide ribosomal RNA is filed under the name uncultured bacterium. RNAcentral's name for it is "partial 16S ribosomal RNA". It matches the Rfam family "Bacterial small subunit ribosomal RNA", at positions 28 to 506 of the family's 1533-position model. The record is from RNAcentral.
GAUGAACGCUGGCGGCGUGCCUAAUACAUGCAAGUAGAACGCUGAAGCUUGGUGCUUGCACCGAGCGGAUGAGUUGCGAACGGGUGAGUAACGCGUAGGUAACCUGCCUCUUAGCGGGGGAUAACUAUUGGAAACGAUAGCUAAUACCGCAUAAAAGUCGAUAUCGCAUGAUAUUGAUUUGAAAGGUGCAAAUGCAUCACUAAGAGAUGGACCUGCGUUGUAUUAGCUAGUUGGUGAGGUAACGGCUCACCAAGGCGACGAUACAUAGCCGACCUGAGAGGGUGACCGGCCACACGGGGACUGAGACACGGCCCAGACUCCUCGGGGGGGCAGCAGUAGGGAAUUUGCGGAAAUGGGGGCAACCCUGACCGAGCAACGCCGGGGGGGUGAAGAAGGUUUUCGGAUGGAAAAGCUUUGUUGAAAGGGAAGAACGGGUGGGGGGGGGGAAAGUCCCCCCGGGGGCGGUAAUUUACAAAAAAGGGACGGCAAACUACGU